RNAcentral lists this transfer RNA (77 nucleotides) under Opeltia flavorubescens. RNAcentral describes it as "tRNA-Ile (AAT) (tRNA-Ile-AAT-2-1)". It matches the Rfam family "tRNA". Rfam says of the family: Transfer RNA (tRNA) molecules are approximately 80 nucleotides in length. Their secondary structure includes four short double-helical elements and three loops (D, anti-codon, and T loops). Further hydrogen bonds mediate the characteristic L-shaped molecular structure. tRNAs have two regions of fundamental functional importance: the anti-codon, which is responsible for specific mRNA codon recognition, and the 3' end, to which the tRNAs corresponding amino acid is attached (by aminoacyl-tRNA synthetases). tRNAs cope with the degeneracy of the genetic code in two manners: having more than one tRNA (with a specific anti-codon) for a particular amino acid; and 'wobble' base-pairing, i.e. permitting non-standard base-pairing at the 3rd anti-codon position. Lineage: Eukaryota; Fungi; Ascomycota; Lecanoromycetes; Teloschistales; Teloschistaceae. The record is from RNAcentral.
GGUUGCUUAGCUCAGUUGGUUAGAGCGUGGUGCUAAUAAUGGUAAAUAGGUCCUCGGUUCGAUCCCGGGAGUGACCA